RNAcentral lists this ribosomal RNA (466 nucleotides) under uncultured bacterium. RNAcentral's name for it is "partial 16S ribosomal RNA". It matches the Rfam family "Bacterial small subunit ribosomal RNA", at positions 28 to 507 of the family's 1533-position model. The record is from RNAcentral.
GAUGAACGCUGGCGGCGUGCUUAACACAUGCAAGUCGAACGGAAAGGCCCAAGCUUGCUUGGGUGCUCGAGUGGCGAACGGGUGAGUAACACGUGGGUGAUCUGCCCUGCACUUUGGGAUAAGCCUGGGAAACUGGGUCUAAUACCGGAUAGGACCAUCGAUUAGUGUCGGUGGUGGAAAGUUUUUCGGUGUGGGAUGAGCUCGCGGCCUAUCAGCUUGUUGGUGGGGUAAUGGCCUACCAAGGCGUCGACGGGGAGCCGGCCUGAGAGGGUGGACGGCCACAUUGGGACUGGGAUACGGCCCAGUCUCCUACGGGGGGCAGCAGUGGGGAAUAUUGCACCAUGGGCGCAAGCCUGAUGCAGCGACGCCGCGUGGGGGAUGACGGCCUUCGGGUUGUAAACUCCUUUCGCCAAGGACUAAGCGUUUUGUGACGGUACUUGGAGAAGAAGCACCGGCUAACUACGUG